GCGGGUGUAGCUCAAUGGUAGAGCCCCGGCCUUCCAAGCCGGUCGUGAGAGUUCGAUUCUCUUCACCCGCUCCA
Molecule: transfer RNA, 74 nt
Filed under: Fusibacter tunisiensis
Lineage: Bacteria; Bacillati; Bacillota; Clostridia; Eubacteriales; Fusibacteraceae
Also listed under: 1 other name
Description: tRNA-Gly
Rfam family: tRNA
About the family: Transfer RNA (tRNA) molecules are approximately 80 nucleotides in length. Their secondary structure includes four short double-helical elements and three loops (D, anti-codon, and T loops). Further hydrogen bonds mediate the characteristic L-shaped molecular structure. tRNAs have two regions of fundamental functional importance: the anti-codon, which is responsible for specific mRNA codon recognition, and the 3' end, to which the tRNAs corresponding amino acid is attached (by aminoacyl-tRNA synthetases). tRNAs cope with the degeneracy of the genetic code in two manners: having more than one tRNA (with a specific anti-codon) for a particular amino acid; and 'wobble' base-pairing, i.e. permitting non-standard base-pairing at the 3rd anti-codon position.
Source: RNAcentral